Molecule: ribosomal RNA, 429 nt
Filed under: bacterium
Lineage: Bacteria
Description: partial 16S ribosomal RNA
Rfam family: Bacterial small subunit ribosomal RNA
Source: RNAcentral
UAGGGAAUCUUCGGCAAUGGGGGCAACCCUGACCGAGCAACGCCGCGUGAGUGAAGAAGGUUUUCGGAUCGUAAAGCUCUGUUGUAAGAGAAGAACGUAUGUGAGAGUGGAAAGUUCACACAGUGACGGUAACUUACCAGAAAGGGACGGCUAACUACGUGCCAGCAGCCGCGGUAAUACGUAGGUCCCGAGCGUUGUCCGGAUUUAUUGGGCGUAAAGCGAGCGCAGGCGGUUUAAUAAGUCUGAAGUUAAAGGCAGUGGCUUAACCAUUGUUCGCUUUGGAAACUGUUAAACUUGAGUGCAGAAGGGGAGAGUGGAAUUCCAUGUGUAGCGGUGAGAUGCGUAGAUAUAUGGAGGAACACCGGUGGCGAAAGCGGCUCUCUGGUCUGUAACUGACGCUGAGGCUCGAAAGCGUGGGGAGCAAACAGG